CCUUAAGGUUCUGCCCUAUUAUACAAACAGGUGGGCGGUUUCUACAAGCAUUAUAAGAGUGAAAGGACGUUUCAGCUUCUGCAAUACAAGCGUAAAGAGACGUCUGCAGGUAAACUGACAGCCAAUAUCCUGCCCAUUUAUCCAAGGAGGCGCUGUAGGGUUUUACAACAAGUUGAGAAGAUCAUAGGAAUACCGUAGUCCCCAUAUCCAGUCGUGAAAAGGAAAUGCAUACAUCUUUGCCCGUAGCCGUUUAGAAACGUUCCCUUCAUUUGCUGCUGCGGUUUACGGUGCGCCAUAUGGGACCGUUACUAACAGAUAUGCCGCUGGUGGCAUCCUUCGUCGACUCGCGAUCAGAAGGCAGCGGCACGUCUUUCUCCGGUGGGGACUGCCCAAGCCCAUCUGAAUCGGAGAGAGGAGGACAGAAAGGAGUGUGUGUGGACCGGAGAGGUAAAAGAAGAGUGAAGAACAGAGACGCUGCCAGGAAGAGCAGGAAAAAACAGACGGAGAGAGCAGACAUUCUCCACCAGUAAGGCUGGUUACUCACAGAGAGG
This is a long non-coding RNA of Oncorhynchus tshawytscha (Chinook salmon), 551 nucleotides long. Lineage: Eukaryota; Metazoa; Chordata; Actinopteri; Salmoniformes; Salmonidae. The record is from Ensembl.